Molecule: ribosomal RNA, 419 nt
Filed under: uncultured fungus
Lineage: Eukaryota; Fungi
Description: eukaryotic LSU rRNA
Rfam family: 5.8S ribosomal RNA (bases 1-125)
Source: RNAcentral
GCAUCGAUGAAGAACGCAGCGAAACGCGAUAGGUAAUGUGAAUUGCAGAAUUCCGUGAAUCAUCGAAUCUUUGAACGCACCUUGCGCUCCAUGGCAUUCCGUGGAGCAUGCCUGUUUGAGUGCCGCGAAAUCUCCCACCCCUAGCGGUUGUCGCAAGGCGCCGCCGGGCGGCGGGGUUGGUUGGGUGCCGCUGCCUGGGCUUUGGCCCAGGCUCGCCCGAAAUGCAUGAGCGCUUAGCACUCGCACCGUCUCGAGGGAAGGCGGCGGAGCUGGCAUCUGCGCAUGGCAUGAUACGUCAUUUGCUGUGUGGCAGCCCAGCGACCCGAGAGUGUGUGUGCGCUACUACACGCCCUUUCAUUUCUGGUCUCAAAUCAGGUAGGAUCACCCGCUGAACUUAAGCAUAUCAAUAAGCGGAGGAA